RNAcentral lists this ribosomal RNA (427 nucleotides) under uncultured bacterium. Its description in RNAcentral is "partial 16S ribosomal RNA". It matches the Rfam family "Bacterial small subunit ribosomal RNA", at positions 355 to 774 of the family's 1533-position model. The record is from RNAcentral.
UGGGGAAUAUUGCACAAUGGGCGCAAGCCUGAUGCAGCCAUGCCGCGUGUAUGAAGAAGGCCUUCGGGUUGUAAAGUACUUUCAGCGGGGAGGAAGGCGAUAAGGUUAAUAACCUUGUCGAUUGACGUUACCCGCAGAAGAAGAACCGGCUAACUCCGUGCCAGCAGCCGCGGUAAUACGGAGGGUGCAAUGGUUAAUCGGAAUUACUGGGCGUAAAGCGCACGCAGGCGGUCUGUCAAGUCGGAUGUGAAAUCCCCGGGCUCAACCUGGGAACUGCAUUCGAAACUGGCAGGCUAGAGUCUUGUAGAGGGGGGUAGAAUUCCAGGUGUAGCGGUGAAAUGCGUAGAGAUCUGGAGGAAUACCGGUGGCGAAGGCGGCCCCCUGGACAAAGACUGACGCUCAGGUGCGAAAGCGUGGGGAGCAAACA